This 71-nucleotide transfer RNA is filed under the name Loxodonta africana (African savanna elephant). It matches the Rfam family "tRNA". Rfam says of the family: Transfer RNA (tRNA) molecules are approximately 80 nucleotides in length. Their secondary structure includes four short double-helical elements and three loops (D, anti-codon, and T loops). The record is from Rfam by way of RNAcentral. Lineage: Eukaryota; Metazoa; Chordata; Mammalia; Proboscidea; Elephantidae.
ACACUGGUGAUUCAGUAGUAGGAUUCUUGAGUUCCAGGCAGGAGACCUGGGUUUGAUUCCUGGCCAAUGUA